AGCAGAGUGGUGCAGCGGAAGCGUGCUGGGCCCAUAACCUAGAUGUUGAUGGAUUAAAACCAUUCUCUGCUA
This is a non-coding RNA of Danio rerio (zebrafish), 72 nucleotides long. NCBI's taxonomy places the organism in Eukaryota, Metazoa, Chordata, Actinopteri, Cypriniformes, Danionidae. The record is from Rfam.